This 723-nucleotide ribosomal RNA is filed under the name Paucisalibacillus sp. SCULCB PT-17. RNAcentral describes it as "bacterial SSU rRNA". It matches the Rfam family "Bacterial small subunit ribosomal RNA", at positions 1 to 685 of the family's 1533-position model. Lineage: Bacteria; Bacillati; Bacillota; Bacilli; Caryophanales; Bacillaceae. The record is from RNAcentral.
GAUCCUCUAGAGAUUAGAGUUUGAUCCUGGCUCAGGACGAACGCUGGCGGCGUGCCUAAUACAUGCAAGUCGAGCGAGUGAAACUAACUGAUCCCUUCGGGGUGACGUUAGUGGAUCUAGCGGCGGACGGGUGAGUAACACGUGGGCAACCUGCCUGUAAGACUGGGAUAACUCGCGGAAACGUGAGCUAAUACCGGAUAACACUUUGAACUUCAUGGUUCGAAGAUGAAAGGCGGCUUCGGCUGUCACUUACAGAUGGGCCCGCGGCGCAUUAGCUAGUUGGUGAGGUAACGGCUCACCAAGGCGACGAUGCGUAGCCGACCUGAGAGGGUGAUCGGCCACACUGGGACUGAGACACGGCCCAGACUCCUACGGGAGGCAGCAGUAGGGAAUCUUCCGCAAUGGACGAAAGUCUGACGGAGCAACGCCGCGUGAGUGAUGAAGGUUUUCGGAUUGUAGAACUCUGUUGUUAGGGAAGAACAAGUCGGGUAGUAACUGACCCGACCUUGACGGUACCUAACCAGAAAGCCCCGGCUAACUACGUGCCAGCAGCCGCGGUAAUACGUAGGGGGCAAGCGUUGUCCGGAAUUAUUGGGCGUAAAGCGCGCGCAGGCGGUCCUUUAAGUCUGAUGUGAAAGCCCACGGCUUAACCGUGGAGGGUCAUUGGAAACUGGAGGACUUGAGUACAGAAGAGGAGAGUGGAAUUCCACGUGUAGCGGUGAA